This 465-nucleotide ribosomal RNA is filed under the name uncultured bacterium. RNAcentral's name for it is "partial 16S ribosomal RNA". It matches the Rfam family "Bacterial small subunit ribosomal RNA", at positions 28 to 507 of the family's 1533-position model. The record is from RNAcentral.
GAUGAACGCUGGCGGCGUGCUUAACACAUGCAAGUCGAACGGAAAGGCUCCUGCUUGCCGGGGUACUCGAGUGGCGAACGGGUGAGUAACACGUGGGUGAUCUGCCCUGCACUUCGGGAUAAGCCUGGGAAACUGGGUCUAAUACCGGAUAGGACCACAUUUUGGAUGGUGUGGUGGAAAGUUUUUCGGUGUGGGAUGAGCUCGCGGCCUAUCAGCUUGUUGGUGGGGUAAUGGCCUACCAAGGCGUCGACGGGUAGCCGGCCUGAGAGGGUGUACGGCCACAUUGGGACUGAGAUACGGCCCAGACUCCUACGGGAGGCAGCAGUGGGGAAUAUUGCACAAUGGGCGCAAGCCUGAUGCAGCGACGCCGCGUGGGGGAUGACGGCCUUCGGGCUGUAAACUCCUUUCGCUAGGGACGAAGCGCAAGUGACGGUACCUGGAGAAGAAGCACCGGCUAACUACGUG